This 490-nucleotide ribosomal RNA is filed under the name uncultured bacterium. RNAcentral describes it as "partial 16S ribosomal RNA". It matches the Rfam family "Bacterial small subunit ribosomal RNA", at positions 30 to 507 of the family's 1533-position model. The record is from RNAcentral.
AUUGAACGCUGGCGGCAGGCCUAACACAUGCAAGUCGAACGGUAACAGGAAGAAGCUUGCUUCUUUGCUGACGAGUGGCGGACGGGUGAGUAAUGUCUGGGAAACUGCCUGAUGGAGGGGGAUAACUACUGGAAACGGUAGCUAAUACCGCAUAACGUCGCAAAACCAAAGAGGGGGACCUUCGGGCCUCUUGCCAUCGGAUGUGCCCAGAUGGGAUUAGCUAGUAGGUGGGGUAACGGCUCACCUAGGCGACGAUCCCUAGCUGGUCUGAGAGGAUGACCAGCCACACUGGAACUGAGACACGGUCCAGACUCCUACGGGAGGCAGCAGUGGGGAAUAUUGCACAAUGGGCGCAAGCCUGAUGCAGCCAUGCCGCGUGUGUGAAGAAGGCCUUCGGGUUGUAAAGUACUUUCAGCGGGGAGGAAGGGAGUAAAGUUAAUACCUUGGCUCAUUGACGUUACCCGCAGAAGAAGCACCGGCUAACUCCGUG